This is a small nuclear RNA of Macaca mulatta (Rhesus monkey), 162 nucleotides long. Its record names the gene U4. It matches the Rfam family "U4 spliceosomal RNA". Rfam says of the family: U4 small nuclear RNA (U4 snRNA) is a component of the major U2-dependent spliceosome. The structure of U4 snRNA from yeast and human has been reported. U4 snRNA presents a k-turn RNA motif in the 5p-SL related to recognition of Snu13 protein. NCBI's taxonomy places the organism in Eukaryota, Metazoa, Chordata, Mammalia, Primates, Cercopithecidae. The record is from Ensembl.
AGCUUUGUGCAGUGGCAGUAUUGUAGCCAAUGAGGUUUAUCUGAGAUGUGAUUAUUGCUAACUGAAACAGAUUCAUAGUGCACAGAGAGUGGGAUUUGUAGUUAGCUACAUCUAGAUUUUGAAAUCCCCACCCCACUAUUUACCAGUUGGAUAAACUUGGAG